This 493-nucleotide ribosomal RNA is filed under the name uncultured bacterium. RNAcentral's name for it is "bacterial SSU rRNA". It matches the Rfam family "Bacterial small subunit ribosomal RNA", at positions 903 to 1397 of the family's 1533-position model. The record is from RNAcentral.
AAAGGAAUUGACGGGCACCCGCACAAGUGGUGGAGCAUGCUGUUUAAUUCGAAAAUACGCGAAGAACCUUACCUGGGCUUGACAUAACGUUGAAAACUCUGGAAACAGAGUCCUCUCUUCGGAGACAACGCUACAGGUGGUGCAUGGUUGUCGUCAGCUCGUGUCGUGAGAUGUUUGGUUAAGUCCAAUAACGAGCGCAACCCUUAUCCUUAAUUGCUAACAUUUAGUUGAGAACCUUAAGGAGACUGCCGGUGACAAACCGGAGGAAGAUGAGGAUGAUGUCAAAUCAUCAUGCCCCUUACGUCCAGGGCUACAGGCGUGCUACAAUGGCCGAUAUAAAAAGACGCAAUACCGUGAGGUGGAGCAAAUCUCCAAAGUCGGCCUCAGUUCGGACUGGAGUCUGCAACUCGACUCCACGAAGUUGGAAUCACUAGUAAUCGUGAAUCAGAAUGUCACGGUGAAUACGUUCCCGGGUGUUGUACACACCGCCCGU